GGCUGCUGUGAUGUGCCUAAGCACGAAUUGGGCUUCUCCUCAUUGCUGAAACCUGCAUUUCCAUUUUCAAGCAUAUCUCUUGUGCCAAGUUUCAGGCUCCCAUUUAUUAAUCUGUCAGAAAAAUCCUCUAUUCUUCCUUUUUCUAGAGAAGGGACAGAAGAUCUUUCACCGGGAUUAAGCCUUUCAAUUUCAUAUAGAUUCCUUGGAUGCAAUUCAGAAUGAGGAAUUGAGGAAUUGAACAAACUGGGUGCUGCUCGCCAUGGUACGGGACCCGAUCCAGCUAAUUGACUCCAACUUUUGACAGAAAGGUCUUUAAACCUCUCAGGUAAAGGAGUAUUAUAAAAUAAAGAAGCUGGCCAUGCGCUAUUUGAUGUCAAAACAACAUUUUUCCUUGCACACGCCAUGCACUCAAUCCCUCCAG
This 421-nucleotide unclassified non-coding RNA is filed under the name Hevea brasiliensis (rubber tree). The record is from RNAcentral. Lineage: Eukaryota; Viridiplantae; Streptophyta; Magnoliopsida; Malpighiales; Euphorbiaceae.